AAAAGGCAAGAUAGCUCCUUAACAGCGUUCCCGAGUACCACGGGGCACGUGAAACCCCGUGGGAAACCGGGUGGACCAUCACCCAAGGCUAAAUACUCCUCUUCGACCGAUAGUGAACCAGUACCGUGAGGGAAAGGUGAAAAGCACCCCUGUUAGGGGAGUGAAAUAGUACCUGAAACCGUGCAUCUACAAGCAGUGGAAGCACUAUGGCCCCGCAAGGGAGUCCAGUGCGACCGCGUGCCUUUUGCAUAAUGAGCCGGCUAGUUAUUGUCACUGGCGAGGCGAAGCGACGUGCUGAGCCGUAGCGAAAGCGAGUCUGAAUAGGGCGACUCAGUCAGUGGUAAUAGACGCGAAGCGGGAUGAUCUACCCAUGGCCAGGGGGAAGCUGCGGUAACACGCAGUGGACGCCCG
Molecule: ribosomal RNA, 411 nt
Filed under: uncultured bacterium
Lineage: Bacteria
Description: bacterial LSU rRNA
Rfam family: Bacterial large subunit ribosomal RNA
Source: RNAcentral